GAUCAUGGCUCAGGAUGAACGCUAGCUACAGGCUUAACACAUGCAAGUCGAGGGGCAGCAUUUUAGUUUGCUUGCAAACUGAAGAUGGCGACCGGCGCACGGGUGAGUAACACGUAUCCAACCUGCCGAUAACUCCGGAAUAGCCUUUCGAAAGAAAAGAUUAAAUACCGGAUAGCAUACGAAUAUCGCAUGAAUAUUUUUAUUAAAGAAUUUCGGUUAUCGAUGGGGAUGCGUUCCAUUAGUUUG
Molecule: ribosomal RNA, 246 nt
Filed under: uncultured bacterium
Lineage: Bacteria
Description: partial 16S ribosomal RNA
Rfam family: Bacterial small subunit ribosomal RNA
Source: RNAcentral